ACUCCUACGGGAGGCAGCAGUGGGGAAUUUUGCGCAAUGGGGGAAACCCUGACGCAGCAAUGCCGCGUGGAGGAUGAAGUCCUUUGGGAUGUAAACUCCUUUCGAUCGGGAAGAUUAUGACGGUACCGGAAGAAGAAGCCCCGACUAACUCUGUGCCAGCAGCCGCGGUAAUACGAAGGGGGCUAGCGUUGUUCGGAAUUACUGGGCGUAAAGGGCGCGUAGGCGGCUUCGCUAGUCGGGCGUGAAAUGCCUGGGCUUAACCCGGGAAUUGCGCUCGAUACUUCGAGGCUAGAGUGUGGGAGAGGUUGGUGGAAUUCCCAGUGUAGAGGUGAAAUUCGUAGAUAUUGGGAAGAACACCGGUGGCGAAGGCGGCUCUCUGGACCACAACUGACGCUGAGGCGCGAGAGCUAGGGGAGCAAACAGGAUUAGAUACCCUGGUAGUCCUAGCCUUAAACGAUGAACACUUGGUAUAGCGGGUAUCGAAUCCCGCCGUGCCGGAGCUAACGCGUUAAGUAUCCCGCCUGGGGAGUACGGUCGCAAGGCUGAAACUUAAAGGAAUUGACG
This 564-nucleotide ribosomal RNA is filed under the name uncultured Acidobacteriota bacterium. Its description in RNAcentral is "bacterial SSU rRNA". It matches the Rfam family "Bacterial small subunit ribosomal RNA", at positions 335 to 915 of the family's 1533-position model. The record is from RNAcentral. Lineage: Bacteria; Pseudomonadati; Acidobacteriota.